UAGGGAAUUUUGCGCAAUGGGCGAAAGCCUGACGCAGCAACGCCGCGUGUGUGAUGAAGCCCCUAGGGGUGUAAAACACUGUCAGUAGGGACGAAUAAUGACGGUACCUACAGAGGAAGCACCGGCUAACUCCGUGCCAGCAGCCGCGGUAAUACGGGGGGUGCAAGCGUUGUCCGGAAUCAUUGGGCGUAAAGCGUUCGUAGGCGGCAUGCCAAGUCUGGUGUUAAAUCCCGGGGCUCAACUCCGGUCAAGCAUUGGAUACUGGUAAGCUAGAAUGUGGUAGAGGUUAAGGGAAUUCCUGGUGUAGCGGUGAAAUGCGUAGAUAUCAGGAGGAACACCGGUGGCGUAAGCGCUUAACUGGGCCAUAAUUGACGCUGAGGAACGAAAGCCGGGGUAGCAA
RNAcentral lists this ribosomal RNA (400 nucleotides) under uncultured bacterium. RNAcentral's name for it is "bacterial SSU rRNA". It matches the Rfam family "Bacterial small subunit ribosomal RNA", at positions 355 to 771 of the family's 1533-position model. The record is from RNAcentral.